UGAAUGACCAGCUCAGGACCGGCCUCCCUGCCUGAGUUCAGAAGAGGAGCAAAUGCUUUCACUCAGGAGGAAUGAACAGAAAACCAGCACAGUGGUAUACCACCUGCUUGCUAGUUUUCAUAAAAAUAAAAUCAUAGAGGGAAAAGACACUUGAAUCUAUCUGCCAAUAAGUUCACAAACAGCUACAGAAAAAAGUUACUACAAGUGUCAACAUGAAGAAAGAAGAUAAUUUGACUACAGAAGCAAUUGGUUUAAAGGUUAUGAAAGACAAGGAAAUACUGAGGAACUAUCACAGAUUGGAGGAGACCAAGGGCACAUGACAGCUAAAUGCAACAUGAAAUCCUGGAUUGGAUCCUGAAAUAGCAAAAGGACAGCAGUGAGAAAACUGGGAAAUCCGAAUAAGAAGUCUGACUGGAUUGCACAAGCCAUCACAACUAAAUGCUGGUGUCCAGCCGCCACCUACAGCACUGUCCCUAUAGGCGAAUGCCUUCCAAGUUGCAAACAACUGACUUACAAA
Long non-coding RNA from Balaenoptera ricei (Rice's whale), 517 nucleotides. RefSeq lists it as uncharacterized. The record is from RefSeq and is a predicted model, not a curated record. The transcript has 4 exons. NCBI's taxonomy places the organism in Eukaryota, Metazoa, Chordata, Mammalia, Artiodactyla, Balaenopteridae.